This 490-nucleotide ribosomal RNA is filed under the name uncultured eukaryote. Its description in RNAcentral is "bacterial SSU rRNA". It matches the Rfam family "Eukaryotic small subunit ribosomal RNA", at positions 507 to 995 of the family's 1831-position model. The record is from RNAcentral.
GUUCGGAAUGAGUACGAUUCGAACCACCUAACGAGGAACGAUCGGAGGGCAAGUCUGGUGCCAGCAGCCGCGGUAAUUCCAGCUCCAAUAGCGUACGUUAAAGUUGCUGCAGUUAAAAAGCUCGUAGUUGAACGUUCGGGUUCCGCGGGACGGGGCCGCCCCGCGAGGGACGGCGCCGCCCCGGGGCUCGUGAUAUCUCAUCUCGCCGCCCGUCGCGAGGCGGACGGAGGGAUGGAUGAGGUUACCUGGAAAAAAUCGGGGCGAUCUAGGCGGGCGAACCUCGCCAACGAACGAUCGGACAUGGGAUAACGGAAGAGGGCGUCGGCUCGACUUCGUCGGUUCCUCGGGCCGAGGCACGUACGGUGAAUAGGGACGGUCGGGGCCGCCCGUACCGGGUCGUGAGAGGUGAAAUUCUAGGAUCGACCCGAGACGAACCGCCGCGAAAGCAUUCGGCAAGGACGCUUUCAUUAAUCAAGAACGAAAGUCGGGG